This is a non-coding RNA of Danio rerio (zebrafish), 984 nucleotides long. The record is from Ensembl. Lineage: Eukaryota; Metazoa; Chordata; Actinopteri; Cypriniformes; Danionidae.
AAACAAACACGUCAGUCCAGUCAGUCGGUCAGUCAUUCAGAAACUCAGAGAGGGCUUGUUCAGCUUCAGCCUCUGGAAGAACAGAAACACCACUGAAAGCAGACAUGCAUCCUGUACUGAUCGGCAUCGUAACUGCCAACACCAGUUUAACCAUCAUCUACUGGAACUUCCUUCUGUCUCAGGUUUUCUGCAAGAAGCUCAAGGAUGCGCCUGAACCUGAGGAAAUCCCAGUCUGAACUGAGACCUUGACCAUAAGAAGAAAAAGAAGAUGAUGACGAAGAAGAGGAAAGCUAAUCCUUGGAAGCAGGAUGAAAAAGAGAAAAUGUAACAAAAAGGAACAGACUGAUAUUUGACUGAAGAAUAUCUGCCAUUUAUAUCUACUGUAUUAACAUGAUGUCACUGAAUACAAUCCCUCAUCUUUCAUCCACUAGUCAAACUCUAACUCUUUAUUACAGUCUUAAAAUCAAUCAUGGCUGCUCAUUUCCAUCAAAACAAGGAGCACGAAAGCACCAAGCUUAUAAUUUGUUGUAAAUCUGUAGCAAAAUGUGUUUGUAAUUUUGUAUGUUUUCUAACUAUAUUUAGCAAAGUAGCUGCCCAUGUUUUGUGAAUCUUUGUGGCUUUCUUAGACAUGCCCAAUUCCCUCGACAAUAAUAAAUGAGUAUAAUAUAGAGAGUAUUGGUACUGUUUACAUGGCAUUUGUCCUCCUGUAACCUACUCUCUGAUCCGGAUUAGCAUGAUUAGCGUGUGCUAGUUCAGGCAGGGUGCUCGGCGCAGACAGAGGGAGCUGUAGCUGUUUGAUCACCACUGAUGAUGUACUUUCUGUUCUCCAGUGAAUGCACAGACCUUAUUUGACACACUGUUUGUGUGGGAUUACGGUUUCGUUCAGUUGUUACAUUAAGAAGAUGCUGCUACCUGAGCUUACCCGCAAACACUUUGGCUGGUGUAAUGUAAUGAAGUCAAGCUGACUGACUGAAGAUUGAAAUA